Dendroctonus ponderosae (mountain pine beetle) is the source of this 2046-nucleotide RNA transcript. It is a transcript of the gene named putative nuclease HARBI1, with no coding region annotated. The record is from RefSeq and is a predicted model, not a curated record. The transcript has 4 exons. Lineage: Eukaryota; Metazoa; Arthropoda; Insecta; Coleoptera; Curculionidae.
UAUGACACUCUCUACGAAAUAUCUGGAAAUAAUUUUUACAAUUCUGCGAAACAUCUGGCUACAUCUUUAUCAAGAAAGAUAAAAAAUUUCAGUUUAUUUGCAUGUUAGUACCGUGGUACAACAUAUUAAAUUGAGUUAAUAUUGUUAGUAAAAUUUUGCAAACAAAAAGUUUAACAUGCCUAUGGCUACUAACCACUAAUUCUAAGUUUCAUUUUUACUAACCAUGUAAUAAAUAUAUAGUUUUUAUUUAAUUGGCUUUUGUCAUAAAAUUAAAAAAAAAUAUAGAACAUAGUACCUAAAGUCUGUCCAAACUCGCACGACGGCGGCAGACCGGCUUGGCGCGGCCCUGGAUGUACAACUUUCCAAGGUGCAGAGAUACCAAGUGUGCCUAUUCUUGACGACUAGGGAGUAGAACAGCCGAGGGAAGUGGGCGGGGUUUUAUGACAGUCGGCCGAAACGGUAUUCUUGAAAAAAGUCGAGAGAGGGAGUCGCUCCCCAGGGAGCGGGAAUGAUCGAUUGGUACUACCCAGUAGAAAGUCUUCUCCCCGGGGUUUCCAACCUCAAAUGCUAUUCAUUUAUGUCACCUUUGUGAUUUGUCAUUUAUCUUUUGUUUCUUGUAACGGGUAUAUCGAUUUAUUUAACGGGUUGCUUUCAAUUAAUUUUUGAAAUUAAUGUUGAGGAAUUUAAUAAUGUUGUCGUAAAUAAAAUUAUAAGUGAGGAUGUGGAUGAUGCCAUGGAACAGUUUGGGGUUCCAAGGGACACCCUGGAUAAGAGGAAUCCCUUUGACCUAACAGAUCAUAAAUUUGUUAGGCUCUUUAGAGUAUCAAAAAAUCUUUGCCGAGAGGUGGUGGAGAUGGUGUCACCAUUCGUUAGGGAGCCUACAAGAGAAUCAGCCUUGUCAAUAAGGACAAAGGUUUUAGCGACGCUUAGAUUUUUUGGAACUGGUAGUUACCAAGAGGUCACUGGGUCAAAUAACUUUGUGGGUAUUAGUCAAGCGUCAGCAAGCAGGGCUAUAACAGAAAUAUCCAAUGCUCUCAAUGAAGCUACUAUUUUAAAUCGCUUAAUUAAUUAUCCGCAAACAAUUGCAGAGUUGGAAGCGUUAAGGACAAGCUAACAAACAUUAGUGCUUAUAUCUUAAAGGCCCUUCUUCAUUUUUUUAUGAACAGCUGUGGAUGCAUAGAUUGUACCCACAUUGCUAUUGUGGCUCCUCAUAAAAAUGAUCCAAAUUUUCCGGAACAUGUUUAUGUAAAUAGGAAAAAUUAUCAUUCCAUAAAUGUGCAACUCGUAAGUAAAAUAACAUAAUUAUAAAUGUUAAAGAUUUGAAAGUUGGCGGGAUUUACUUUUUCUAGGUGUGUGACUCAAAUCUUAAAAUUUUGAAUGUCAACUCCAAAUUUCCUGGCUCAUGUCAUGACUCUCAUAUAUGGAGGCAAUCUCCUGUGUCAGAUUUCAUGGAGACUGUACACAGGAGAAAUCGUAACAAUGUGUUCUUUCUCUUCGGCGACUCAGGUUAUCCAACUCGUCCCUGGUUACUAACGCCAAUUAAUAAUGCCCGGAACUUGGGCGAGGAACGAUUUAAUGACAGGCUAUGCUCUAUUCGCUCUGUAAUUGAGAGGUGUAAUGCGGUGCUCAAAAAUCGCUUUCGAUGUCUUCUGCGUUAUCGCACUCUCCAUUACAGUCCCUCAAUGGCAGGCAAAAUAACAAACGCUUGUUGCGUUUUGCAUAAUUUAUGCAUUGCGAAUAGAGUACCUGAGGUUGAAGAGCCGCACCCCGUGAAGCCGGAUUAUGGCAUGUAUGCUCUUAAUCAGUUAAAUUUUUUAAGACCUUCUGCCAACGUAGAUCUAGCUGCUGCUAGAGCUCUACAGCAACAUAUUAUCAAUACUCAUUUUACUUAGGCAUUAAAAUUAGUUCGACAUUUUGUUUCAAUUAUUUGUAUUACACACAGAAGUUUUCUACUAUUUACGAACUAAAUUUUCUGCAAUCAUUGUAAACGCAUUAGCGAUAUUUUUAAAAAUUGUCAACAUUUCCGAAUGGAAUUUUUCAUUAUUU